AAUGUUAUCACGGGAGACACACGGCGGGUGCUAACGUCCGUCGUGAAGAGGGAAACAACCCAGACCGCCAGCUAAGGUCCCAAAGUCAUGGUUAAGUGGGAAACGAUGUGGGAAGGCCCAGACAGCCAGGAUGUUGGCUUAGAAGCAGCCAUCAUUUAAAGAAAGCGUAAUAGCUCACUGGUCGAGUCGGCCUGCGCGGAAGAUGUAACGGGGCUAAACCAUGCACCGAAGCUGCGGCAGCGACACUUUAGUGUUGUUGGGUAGGGGAGCGUUCUGUAAGCCGUUGAAGGUGUCCUGUGAGGGGUGCUGGAGGUAUCAGAAGUGCGAAUGCUGACAUAAGUAACGAUAAAGCGGGUGAAAAGCCCGCUCGCCGGAAGACCAAGGGUUCCUGUCCAACGUUAAUCGGGGCAGGGUGAGUCGACCCCUAAGGCGAGGCCGAAAGGCGUAGUCGAUGGGAAACGGGUUAAUAUUCCCGUACUUGGUGUUACUGCGAAGGGGGGACGGAGAAGGCUAUGUUGGCCGGGCGACGGUUGUCCCGGUUUAAGCGUGUAGGUGUGUGUUCCAGGUAAAUCCGGUUCACUUUAACACUGAGGCGUGAUGACGAGGCACCACGGUGCUGAAGCAACAAAUGCCCUGCUUCCAGGAAAAGCCUCUAAGCAUCAGGUAACAUCAAAUCGUACCCCAAACCGACACAGGUGGUCAGGUAGAGAAUACCAAGGCGCUUGAGAGAACUCGGGUGAAGGAACUAGGCAAAAUGGUGCCGUAACUUCGGGAGAAGGCACGCUGACACGUAGGUGAAGUGAUUUACUCAUGGAGCUGAAGUCAGUCGAAGAUACCAGCUGGCUGCAACUGUUUAUUAAAAACACAGCACUGUGCAAACACGAAAGUGGACGUAUACGGUGUGACGCCUGCCCGGUGCCGGAAGGUUAAUUGAUGGGGUCAGCGCAAGCGAAGCUCCUGAUCGAAGCCCCGGUAAACGGCGGCCGUAACUAUAACGGUCCUAAGGUAGCGAAAUUCCUUGUCGGGUAAGUUCCGACCUGCACGAAUGGCGUAAUGAUGGCCAGGCUGUCUCCACCCGAGACUCAGUGAAAUUGAACUCGCUGUGAAGAUGCAGUGUACCCGCGGCAAGACGGAAAGACCCCGUGAACCUUUACUAUAGCUUGACACUGAACAUUGAGCCUUGAUGUGUAGGAUAGGUGGGAGGCUUUGAAGCGUGGACGCCAGUCUGCGUGGAGCCGACCUUGAAAUACCACCCUUUAAUGUUUGAUGUUCUAACGUGGACCCGUAAUCCGGGUUGCGGACAGUGUCUGGUGGGUAGUUUGACUGGGGCGGUCUCCUCCUAAAGAGUAACGGAGGAGCACGAAGGUUGGCUAAUCCUGGUCGGACAUCAGGAGGUUAGUGCAAUGGCAUAAGCCAGCUUGACUGCGAGCGUGACGGCGCGAGCAGGUGCGAAAGCAGGUCAUAGUGAUCCGGUGGUUCUGAAUGGAAGGGCCAUCGCUCAACGGAUAAAAGGUACUCCGGGGAUAACAGGCUGAUACCGCCCAAGAGUUCAUAUCGACGGCGGUGUUUGGCACCUCGAUGUCGGCUCAUCACAUCCUGGGGCUGAAGUAGGUCCCAAGGGUAUGGCUGUUCGCCAUUUAAAGUGGUACGCGAGCUGGGUUUAGAACGUCGUG
This 1673-nucleotide ribosomal RNA is filed under the name Salmonella enterica. Its description in RNAcentral is "partial 23S ribosomal RNA". It matches the Rfam family "Bacterial large subunit ribosomal RNA", at positions 968 to 2623 of the family's 2925-position model. Lineage: Bacteria; Pseudomonadati; Pseudomonadota; Gammaproteobacteria; Enterobacterales; Enterobacteriaceae. The record is from RNAcentral.